AAAACUUGUGCAUUGUUGAUGGUAGAGUCCACAAGCGUCGAUGCUUAUAUUGUUUGCAUUGUGGAUGGCGUUGACGGUGGGCAUAUAUGCUGCGGUGGAGCUCAUUGGUUCAUGCUUGGUGUGAACUUGGAACUCAUGAUCCUUUAAUUUGUGAACCUCUGGUUGCAUAUGCAUGUAUGUUGUUGUGAACCUUCGUUGGAUAUGUAUGCACUGUGUGGACCUGAAACUUACGGUCCUUUCGUUUCUGAUCUUUUGUUGCAUACGUAUGCAUAUGUGGACUCUGCACUCAUGUACGGCUGGAUAUAUGUAUUACUUGAUAUAUGUUUGUUGGUCAUGGUCAUGUACUGCUGGAUGCAUAUAUUUGUUGGAUAUAUGUGCUGCUGGAUAGAUGUACUACUGUAUA
This is a long non-coding RNA of Triticum dicoccoides, 403 nucleotides long. RefSeq lists it as uncharacterized. The record is from RefSeq and is a predicted model, not a curated record. The transcript is spliced from 2 exons. Lineage: Eukaryota; Viridiplantae; Streptophyta; Magnoliopsida; Poales; Poaceae.